RNAcentral lists this ribosomal RNA (459 nucleotides) under uncultured bacterium. Its description in RNAcentral is "partial 16S ribosomal RNA". It matches the Rfam family "Bacterial small subunit ribosomal RNA", at positions 338 to 795 of the family's 1533-position model. The record is from RNAcentral.
CCUACGGGUGGCUGCAGUGAGGAAUAUUGGUCAAUGGUCGGGAGCCUGAACCAGCCAAGCCGCGUGAGGGAAGAAGGUACAGCGUAUCGUAAACCUCUUUUGUCAGGGAACAAAGGCGGGGACUAGUCCCCGGAUGAGGGUACCUGAAGAAAAAGCAUCGGCUAACUCCGUGCCAGCAGCCGCGGUAAUACGGAGGAUUCGAGCGUUAUCCGGAUUUAUUGGGUUUAAAGGGGACGUAGGCGGCCUAUUAAGUCAGCGGUAAAAGCAAGGGGCUAAACUCCGGCGAGCCGUUGAAACUGGCGGGCUGGAGUGGGAGAGAAGUACGCGGAAUGCGCGGUGUAGCGGUGAAAUGCUUAGAUAUCGCGCAGAACCCCGAUUGCGAAGGCAGCGUACCGGCGCCACACUGACGCUGAGGCACGAAAGCGUGGGUAUCGAACAGGAUUAGAUACCCCUGUAGUC